GACGAACGCUGGCGGCGUGCUUAACACAUGCAAGUCGAACGGAAAGGCCCUGCUUUUGUGGGGUGCUCGAGUGGCGAACGAGUGAGUAACACGUGAGUAACCUGCCCUUGACUUUGGGAUAACUUCAGGAAACUGGGGCUAAUACCGGAUAGGAGCUCCUGCUGCAUGGUGGGGGUUGGAAAGUUUCGGCGGUUGGGGAUGGACUCGCGGCUUAUCAGCUUGUUGGUGGGGUAGUGGCUUACCAAGGCUUUGACGGGUAGCCGGCCUGAGAGGGUGACCGGCCACAUUGGGACUGAGAUACGGCCCAGACUCCUACGGGAGGCAGCGGUGGGGAAUAUUGCACAAUGGGCUGAAGCCUGAUGCAGCGACGCCGCGUGCGGGAUGACGGCCUUCGGGUUGUAAACCGCUUUCGCCUGUGACGAAGCGUGAGUGACGGUAAUGGGUAAAGAAGCACCGGCUAACUACGUG
RNAcentral lists this ribosomal RNA (468 nucleotides) under uncultured bacterium. RNAcentral describes it as "partial 16S ribosomal RNA". It matches the Rfam family "Bacterial small subunit ribosomal RNA", at positions 28 to 507 of the family's 1533-position model. The record is from RNAcentral.